Molecule: ribosomal RNA, 443 nt
Filed under: uncultured bacterium
Lineage: Bacteria
Description: partial 16S ribosomal RNA
Rfam family: Bacterial small subunit ribosomal RNA
Source: RNAcentral
CCUACGGGAGGCAGCAGUGGGGAAUAUUGGGCAAUGGGCGCAAGCCUGACCCAGCAACGCCGCGUGAAGGAAGAAGGCUUUCGGGUUGUAAACUUCUUUUCUGAGGGACGAAGAAAGUGACGGUACCCCAGGAAUAAGCCACGGCUACCUACGGGCCAGCAGCCGCGGCAAUACGUAGGCGGCAAUCGUUAUCCGGAUUUAUUGGGUGUAAAGGGCGUGUAGGCGGGAAAGCAAGUCAGAUGUGAAAACUCGGGGCUCAACCCUGGGCCUGCAUUUGAAACUGUUUUGCUUGAGUGCGGGAGAGGCAAUCGGAAUUCCGUGUGUAGCGGUGAAAUGCGUAGAUAUACGGAGGAACACCAGUGGCGAAGGCGGCUUGCUGGACAGUAACUGACGCUGAGGCGCGAAAGCGUGGGGAGCAAACAGGAUUAGAUACCCUUGUAGUC